UACGGAGGAUGCAAGCGUUAUCCGGAUUCAUUGGGUUUAAAGGGUGCGCAGGCGGAGAUAUAAGUCAGUGGUGAAAAACUGCCGCUCAACGGUAGUCUUGCCAUUGAUACUGUUUCUCUUGAGUAUGGAUGAGGUAGGCGGAAUGUGCAGUGCAGCGGUGAAAUGCAUAGAUAUUGCACGGAACACCAAUUGCGAAGGCAGCUUACUGGGCCAUUACUGACGCUCAGGCACGAAAGCGUGGGGAU
This 245-nucleotide ribosomal RNA is filed under the name uncultured prokaryote. RNAcentral describes it as "partial 16S ribosomal RNA". It matches the Rfam family "Bacterial small subunit ribosomal RNA", at positions 524 to 768 of the family's 1533-position model. The record is from RNAcentral.